This 407-nucleotide ribosomal RNA is filed under the name uncultured bacterium. RNAcentral's name for it is "partial 16S ribosomal RNA". It matches the Rfam family "Bacterial small subunit ribosomal RNA", at positions 30 to 526 of the family's 1533-position model. The record is from RNAcentral.
AUUGAACGCUGGCGGCAGGCCUAACACAUGCAAGUCGAGCGGAGCGGCGGACGGGUGAGUAAUGCCUAGGAAUCUGCCUGGUAGUGGGGGAUAACGUACGGAAACGGGCGCUAAUACCGCAUACUAUCAGAUGAGCCUAGGUCGGAUUAGCUAGUUGGUGGGGUAAAGGCCUACCAAGGCGACGAUCCGUAACUGGUCCGAGAGGCUGAUCAGUCACACUGGAACUGAGACACGGUCCAUGCUCCUACGGUAGGCAGCAGUGGGGAAUAUUGGACAAUGGGCGAAAGCCUGAUCCAGCCAUGCCGCGUGUGUGAAGAAGGUCUUCGGAUUGUAAAGCACUUUAAGUUGGGAGGCGUUACCAACAGAGUAAGCACCGGCUAACUUCGUGCCAGCAGCCGCGGUAAUAC